CCUUGCAACCUUUUGGGUUUUUAAGCAUCUUUACGUUCUAAACAGUUAACACUACCAUAUCAUCUCUACUAUAGAGACAAUCAAUUAGAUUACAAUAAUCCAAUCAUUAAUUAAUAAAGAACAAUGUUUUGUCAAACAAAACAUUCAUCCAUCUCUUACUAUAGUGACGGAAUUAAGUUCCUUAAAAUUGGAAUGUAAAGACAAUCUUUGGUUUUUCCAAUUUCUUUGGUAGUUCAUAUGAGGAAGUAAGUACUAUCUGCUUUCGCAGAGAUCUAUAUUUUAUUCACGUUCCGAAUGUGAAGCACCUUUUCCUUCUCUCAUAUAUCUUCUACUUCUUAUUAGUCAUACUUUUACAACGAUUGUAAAACAUAGUUACUAAUACGGAAUCAAGCAUUCAAGUAGAAGAAC
RNAcentral lists this long non-coding RNA (408 nucleotides) under Malus domestica (apple). RNAcentral's name for it is "long non-coding RNA (MDOM_LNC018710)". Lineage: Eukaryota; Viridiplantae; Streptophyta; Magnoliopsida; Rosales; Rosaceae. The record is from RNAcentral.